RNAcentral lists this small RNA (840 nucleotides) under Histoplasma capsulatum var. duboisii H88. RNAcentral describes it as "Histoplasma capsulatum H88 hypothetical RNA". Lineage: Eukaryota; Fungi; Ascomycota; Eurotiomycetes; Onygenales; Ajellomycetaceae. The record is from RNAcentral.
GCCAUGUGCGCGAGUUUCAUUAAGAACUGGUUCAACUUUUGCUGUCGAUCCGCUAGUUCCCCACGCCCACAGUAAUCGACGCGGAAACAAUUCAUUAUGCUAUCGAUGAUCAAUAGGCGGUACUCACCACCCACAAACUCCUUUGACAAUGUGUUCAGAAGUUCCAGCUGGUGCUCGCUGUUCAGUGCUCUAGCAUAAGCAAUAUUCUCCAACGCGGAAUCAGGGUCAACACCAAACCGCUCCGCAAUUUGUGCGAUUCUUUCAGGCCGGAAUGUGCCUUCUGUAUCGAUAUAGGCCACUUUCCCUUCCGCACCGCCCAUGUCCUUUGGCAGCUGAGCCAUGACGGACAUCGUGUGCGAAAGCUGUGUUUUACCACAGCGAAACUCGCCAUAUACCUCGCUGAUACUCAUGCUCUGAAAUCCACUGCACAGAGGCUUGAGUCAAUGUCUCUACUCAAGGACCUUCACGCUCGGGAUAAUGCUAAACACACCCUGCCAAGAUAGAGUCGAAUUGCUUGCUCCCUGUGGAAAUUUUUACAACUCGCUUCCUCUGGUGGCCUAGUUCCAUUGCAGUUAUGAAACCAGAAGCUGAGGGCUACGUGUAUGUCCAUGUUAGUCAAAAAAAAAAAAAAACAAAAAUAGAUUUCCCUAUGCCACCAGUAGCAACCGCUGGACGAGCGAAACAAUUUUGGAAGAGAGGUACAUACCUUGCAUUUCUGAAUAGCCUCUUUAAUUUUCUCUACCUUGACUUCACUGAAGCCCCUGAUUUUCAACAACGUCUUUCUCGUGGCUCCAUGAACAGACUAGAAUGUAUCCGAUCAUCCCCAUUUCCAUUGCCACG